Molecule: ribosomal RNA, 82 nt
Filed under: Planctomycetaceae bacterium
Lineage: Bacteria; Pseudomonadati; Planctomycetota; Planctomycetia; Planctomycetales; Planctomycetaceae
Description: partial 16S ribosomal RNA
Rfam family: Bacterial small subunit ribosomal RNA (bases 1-72)
Source: RNAcentral
GUGAACUCCGCAAUUGGGACUAAGUCGUAACAAGGUAGCCGUAGGGGAACCUGCGGCUGGAUCACCUCCUUUCUAAGGAUUA